AUGGAGCAUAGUGACGGCGAGACCGCCGCCAAGCGAGCCAAGCUCUCCGCCAGCGGCAGCGAGGACCUCCUCAGCGCGCUAUCCGACGACGUUCUCAUUCACAUCCUUCUCAAGCUCCGCAACACCGCCGUCGCCGCUCGGACCAGCGUCCUCUCCAGCCGCUGGCGCCGCCUCUGGGCCCUCCUCCCGGGCCUGGACUUUCUCCCCGACAUCAACCCAUACAGCGUACCCGCCGUCCUCGCCGCCCAUCAAGCGCCGGCCCUCCGCUCUCUCCGCAUCCUCGCCACGGACGCCUCUGCCGACUUCAUGGCCGCGUGGCUCCCCAUCGCCGCCCGCCGCCUCUCCGGCGAUCUAUUCUUCAUCAACACCGUGUCGCCGGACGACGAGGCCGGGGACAGAGGCGCCUUUGAACUGCCAUGCUUCGAGAACGCCACCUCGAUCACGCUCCACUUAGGGUUUCUUGGCAUUGCAGUGCCAGCCUCCGCCAUAUCCUCUCGGCUCACCGAUCUUCGCCUGAAUAGCUUCCAGGUACAGGGUCCGUGCUUGCUCGGUGACGUUGUAUCCUCGGCGUGGUCCCCAUGCUUGCAAAGGCUCACCAUCAACGAUGCCCGAGGCAUCGACAAAUUCACCAUCCGCUCAGAGUCUCUCCUGCAAUUGAAGCUCAAGGAUCUAGAUGGCCUGCAGCAGCUCACUGUCGUGGCGCCGAAGCUCAAAGAGCUAAGUGUGAUCCUUUUGCUUUGCUCCGAAUCAACCUAUUGCUAG
RNAcentral lists this ribosomal RNA (762 nucleotides) under Triticum aestivum (bread wheat). Its description in RNAcentral is "partial small subunit ribosomal RNA". Lineage: Eukaryota; Viridiplantae; Streptophyta; Magnoliopsida; Poales; Poaceae. The record is from RNAcentral.